GACGAACGCUGGCGGCGUGCUUAACACAUGCAAGUCGAACGGAAAGGCCCUGCUUUUGUGGGGUGCUCGAGUGGCGAACGGGUGAGUAACACGUGAGUAACCUGCCCUUGACUUUGGGAUAACUUCAGGAAACUGGGGCUAAUACCGGAUAGGAGCUCCUGCUGCAUGGUGGGGGUUGGAAAGUUUCGGCGGUUGGGGAUGGACUCGCGGCUUAUCAGCUUGUUGGUGGGGUAGUGGCUUACCAAGGCUUUGACGGGUAGCCGGCCUGAGCGGGUGACCGGCUACAUUGGGACUGAGCUACGGCACAGACUAGAACCCGACGCAGCAGUGGGGAAUAUUGCACAAUGCGCGGAAGCCUGAUCCAGCAACGCCGCGUGCGGGAUGACGGCCUUCGGGUUGUAAACCGCUUUCGCCUGAGACGAAGCGUGAGUGACGGUACUGGGUAAAGAAGCACCGGCUAACUACGUG
This 468-nucleotide ribosomal RNA is filed under the name uncultured bacterium. Its description in RNAcentral is "partial 16S ribosomal RNA". It matches the Rfam family "Bacterial small subunit ribosomal RNA", at positions 28 to 507 of the family's 1533-position model. The record is from RNAcentral.